UACGGUUCUACUUUUGAUUUACCAUUUUGGUAGGGAGGGGGUUUCCAAUGGCUUGUGCUUGUCCUAUCUUACUAGGGUCAUUCUUACCCCACACAUCAGAGUGCCAUUGUGGGAGGGAUGUCUCCUUCAAAAUAUAUCCAUUUCAACUAUUCACUCAAAAUAAUCCUGGGUUGGCUUUGAGAUUCCACUGUCUACUGUGGUGCAAAUUUGGUCUAUUAAUUAUCCCCAUUGGUUGGCAGACCACAUGCUUUUCUUUUGCCCCCAGAAAUUGGACUUAGCUUGGAGCCAGUAUCCUACAGAACUCCUCUCCCCAAGUUUGGGUAUUUUUCUUUUCCUUCUAUAGUUCCCAGAUAAAUGGACACAGAUCCCUUUAGGGAAGGCCAAGGAAGGUUCAUGAAAUUCAUUAAGUGUUAAAAUAAGGUUUCCCUUCAGAGAUAUUUGGCUUACUCUCCAUUGAAGGUCUGGAAAUUAGUGGGAGAUUUUGACUCCACCUUGGCAGCUUGAGACAGACCUGUUUGCCCAACCAGAAGUCUUUAGUUAUGGUUAUAACUAGGUAAUAUCUUAGGGACUGUCUGGUCUUCAUUCCUGGGACCCAGUGGUUGAUUAGCCACCGCUCGAGGUCUGGUUUCCAUGCCCAUGACCAUUGUGAUGACUCCUCUACUUUGUUCCUUGUAUCUAUCUCUGCUGCUGAGAUCAGGCUGCUCAUUUUCACAGCAGCUCUCCCAACCAGCAUUCCAGGCCUAGAGAGGAAAGCCAGCAGAACCUCACCCCUGUAUUUCUCGUGGCAAGGAGCAAGGUCACCUCCUGGGUCCUGUCGGAGGACAGGGAGAGGAUGGAUGGGCUGGAUGCAUGCAAGGGACCCAAUAAAGCAUUCUAUUCUCCUGAGAUCCAGCCUGCCAAGGAGAAGGGAUUCUCUUCCGCUCUGGACAAGAAUUGCCCCGACACAGGAAGUGGCCCCAGGAAACAGACACCAGAAACUGCUCAGGGAAAGGAGGUUGUUGUCAUAAUCACUGAUU
Molecule: long non-coding RNA, 1016 nt
Organism: Neomonachus schauinslandi (Hawaiian monk seal)
Lineage: Eukaryota; Metazoa; Chordata; Mammalia; Carnivora; Phocidae
Exons: 3
Source: RefSeq, a predicted model, not a curated record